Molecule: non-coding RNA, 72 nt
Organism: Lipotes vexillifer (Yangtze River dolphin)
Lineage: Eukaryota; Metazoa; Chordata; Mammalia; Artiodactyla; Lipotidae
Source: the annotation of a RefSeq genome assembly
UCCCUGGUGGUCCAGUGGUUAAGACUCAGCGCUUUCACAGCUGUGGCCCAGGUUCAAUCCCUGGUCAGGGAA